UACGUAGGGGGCAAGCGUUGUCCGGAAUUAUUGGGCGUAAAGAGCUCGUAGGCGGUCUGUCGCGUCUGCUGUGAAAACUCAGGGCUUAACCCUGAGCUUGCAGUGGGUACGGGCAGGCUAGAGUGCGGUAGGGGAGACUGGAAUUCCUGGUGUAGCGGUGAAAUGCGCAGAUAUCAGGAGGAACACCGGUGGCGAAGGCGGGUCUCUGGGCCGUAACUGACGCUGAGGAGCGAAAGCAUGGGGAGCGAACAGG
Molecule: ribosomal RNA, 253 nt
Filed under: uncultured bacterium
Lineage: Bacteria
Description: partial 16S ribosomal RNA
Rfam family: Bacterial small subunit ribosomal RNA
Source: RNAcentral